AAAUAAGCCCAACCCGAAAAAAUCUUACCAAAUAUCACAAUCCCAAAUUAAAAAAAAUCCGCUUCAUCUUCCUCGCCUGAAGAUGGAGUUGAUGCAGCUGCGGAAACGAUUCUCUCCUUUAUUAUUCAUUGAAAAUUCAUUCAAGAAGAAGCUCGAUUUCUUCUUCUUCUUCGCCGCUGCUACUCCGGUAACUUCUCUAACGCUCCUUCAGAAUAACUCAGCACAACGUAGAUUCGUUUUCUACUUUUAGGUGUAAGGAUGAUAUGGAAGAAGGGUUUAUGAUUCGAGUUUCAUCAAAGGAUAAUCGAGAGGUUGAAUCUUGUUGGUUAUAUAAAGGUUUAAGUUGUAAAUCUAAGUCUAAUGGUGUAUCUUCUAUUUCUUGUAUCUGGACUAUACUAGGCAUUUGCAUCUGACUGACUUCGAAUAGAUGGGGAUAAUCUAUUAUAUCUUUUAUGGCAAAGCAAUCUGAAUGAUGCGUAUUUGAAAUA
Solanum dulcamara is the source of this 488-nucleotide long non-coding RNA. RefSeq lists it as uncharacterized. Lineage: Eukaryota; Viridiplantae; Streptophyta; Magnoliopsida; Solanales; Solanaceae. The record is from RefSeq and is a predicted model, not a curated record. The transcript is spliced from 3 exons.